AGAGUUCGAUCCUGGCUCAGGAUGAACGCUGGCGGCGUGCCUAACACAUGCAAGUCGAGCGAUUCUCUUUGGAGAAGAGCGGCGGACGGGUGAGUAACGCGUGGGUAACCUGCCCUGUACACACGGAUAACAUACCGAAAGGUAUGCUAAUACGGGAUAAUACAUAAGAGUCGCAUGACUUUUAUAUCAAAGAUUUUUCGGUACAGGACGGACCCGCGUCUGAUUAGCUUGUUGGCGGGGUAACGGCCCACCAAGGCGACGAUCAGUAGCCGACCUGAGAGGGUGAUCGGCCACAUUGGAACUGAGACACGGUCCAA
RNAcentral lists this ribosomal RNA (317 nucleotides) under uncultured bacterium. Its description in RNAcentral is "bacterial SSU rRNA". It matches the Rfam family "Bacterial small subunit ribosomal RNA", at positions 8 to 334 of the family's 1533-position model. The record is from RNAcentral.